Molecule: long non-coding RNA, 638 nt
Organism: Toxorhynchites rutilus septentrionalis
Lineage: Eukaryota; Metazoa; Arthropoda; Insecta; Diptera; Culicidae
Exons: 3
Source: RefSeq, a predicted model, not a curated record
CGUUGUUUUGCCAUGUUGUUGUUUUGUGUGUUAUGUGUGGUGAAACAAAUAAUGUUGUAUCAGGUUUUGUUUCUGGUGAAAAGCUUUUAUCAUCCUUCUUAACCAUCUCUAUUACCUUUUCUUAUGAUCUACGGGAUGUGCGUCAGGCACUGCAGCUUUUAGAAGGUAGGGCGUUAUCAUUAUUUUCAUACAUAUAAACUAGAGCCUACACAACGAAACAGUAACAAAUCAUAAUGAGGAAAAUAUUUUCAAAACGGCCUGGUUCAGAUAGCUUUUUAGUUACACGAAUACACAGUAGAAGUACAAUGAAUUACUCCAGAAUCUUUCACUUCUGUUUUUGCAUCAAAACACUGUGAUAAUUGAGUAAUUCGGUAUCAAUUCAUAACAUCCGGAAAGUCAAGGCAUGGUUUAUUGAAUAGGGGCUUCAGAUUCUGGACUGGUCAGCUUGUUUACCAAAUCAAAACACUAUCAAAAACUUAUGAGGAGUGAUAGUACGAAAAGGAGAUGCAGCUUACAAGCAGUAUAAGCGACUCGAAGAGCUUGAACGAGCAGUAUCCUCUGCGUUGAACGAGAUACACUCUAUAACCUGGCACAGCUUGGUCAAAACCAUCCGGAAGGGUUAUUUGAACUGAUUGAGA